Molecule: ribosomal RNA, 484 nt
Filed under: uncultured bacterium
Lineage: Bacteria
Description: partial 16S ribosomal RNA
Rfam family: Bacterial small subunit ribosomal RNA
Source: RNAcentral
AUUGAACGCUAGCGGGAUGCUUUACACAUGCAAGUCGAACGGCAGCGCGGACUUCGGUCUGGCGGCGAGUGGCGAACGGGUGAGUAAUGUAUCGGAACGUGCCCAGUAGCGGGGGAUAACUACGCGAAAGCGUAGCUAAUACCGCAUACGCCCUACGGGGGAAAGCAGGGGAUCGUAAGACCUUGCACUAUUGGAGCGGCCGAUAUCGGAUUAGCUAGUUGGUGAGGUAACGGCUCACCAAGGCGACGAUCCGUAGCUGGUUUGAGAGGACGACCAGCCACACUGGGACUGAGACACGGCCCAGACUCCUACGGGAGGCAGCAGUGGGGAAUUUUGGACAAUGGGGGCAACCCUGAUCCAGCCAUCCCGCGUGUGCGAUGAAGGCCUUCGGGUUGUAAAGCACUUUUGUCAGGAAAGAAACGUCGCGGGCUAAUACCCCGUGGAACUGACGGUACCUGCAGAAUAAGCACCGGCUAACUACGUG